Molecule: ribosomal RNA, 511 nt
Filed under: uncultured bacterium
Lineage: Bacteria
Description: bacterial SSU rRNA
Rfam family: Bacterial small subunit ribosomal RNA
Source: RNAcentral
GCAGUAAACUCAAAUGAAUUGACGGUCCCCUACGGGAAGCAGCAGUGGGGAAUAUUGGACAAUGGGCGCAAGCCUGAUCCAGCCAUACCGCGUGGGUGAAGAAGGCCUUCGGGUUGUAAAGCCCUUUUGUUGGGAAAGAAAAGCAAUCGGAUAAUACCCGGUUGUUAUGACGGUACCCAAAGAAUAAGCCCCGGCUAACUUCGUGCCAGCAGCCGCGGUAAUACGAAGGGUGCAAGCGUUAUUCGGAAUUAUUGGGCGUAAAGCGUGCGCAGGUGGUUGUUUAAGUCUGUUGUGAAAGCCCUGGGCUCAACCUGGGAAUUUCAGUGGAUACUGGGCGACUAGAGUGCGGUAGAGGGUAGUGGAAUUCCCGGUGUAGCAGUGAAAUGCGUAGAGAUCGGGAGGAACACCCAUGGCGAAGGCAGCUACCUGGUCCAUCACUGACACUGAGGCACGAAAGCGUGGGGAGCAAACAGGAUUAGAUACCCUGGUAGUCCACGCCCUAAACGAUGCG